GUGAGGAAUUUUGCCCAAUGGGGGAAACCCUGAGGCAGCAACGCCGCGUGAGUGAAGAAGGCCUUCGGGUCGUAAAGCUCUGUCAAGUGGGAAAAAGAUUUUACGGUAAACAGCCGUGAAGUUUGAUGGUACCACUGGAGGAAGCACCGGCUAACUCCGUGCCAGCAGCCGCGGUAAUACGGAGGGUGCUAGCGUUAUUCGGAAUUAUUGGGCGUAAAGCGCGUGCAGGCGGUUCGGCAAGUCAGAUGUGAAAGCCCUGGGCUUAACCCAGGAAGUGCAUUUGAAACUAUCGAGCUUGAGUAUGGGAGAGGAGAGUGGAAUUCCCAGUGUAGAGGUGAAAUUCGUAGAUAUUGGGAGGAACACCCGUGGCGAAGGCGACUCUCUGGACCAAUACUGACGCUGAGACGCGAAAGCGUGGGGAGCAAACAGGAUUAGAAACCCCUGUAGUCC
This 450-nucleotide ribosomal RNA is filed under the name uncultured bacterium. RNAcentral describes it as "bacterial SSU rRNA". It matches the Rfam family "Bacterial small subunit ribosomal RNA", at positions 354 to 796 of the family's 1533-position model. The record is from RNAcentral.